GACGAACGCUGGCGGCGUGCCUAAUACAUGCAAGUCGAACGCUUCUUCUUUCACCGGAGCUUGCUCCACCGAAAGAAGAAGAGUGGCGAACGGGUGAGUAACACGUGGGUAACCUACCCAUCAGAGGGGGAUAACACUUGGAAACAGGUGCUAAUACCGCAUAAUAGUCAACACCGCAUGGUGGAGAUUUGAAAGACGCUUUCGGGUGUCGCUGAUGGAUGGACCCGCGGUGCAUUAGCUAGUUGGUGAGGUAACGGCUCACCAAGGCGAUGAUGCAUAGCCGACCUGAGAGGGUGAUCGGCCACACUGGGACUGAGACACGGCCCAGACUCCUACGGGAGGCAGCAGUAGGGAAUCUUCGGCAAUGGACGGAAGUCUGACCGAGCAACGCCGCGUGAGUGAAGAAGGUUUUCGGAUCGUAAAACUCUGUUGUUAGAGAAGAACAAGUAGGAGAGUAACUGCUCUUGCCUUGACGGUAUCUAACCAGAAAGCCACGGCUAACUACGUGCCAGCCGCCGCCGUAAAAC
Molecule: ribosomal RNA, 527 nt
Filed under: uncultured bacterium
Lineage: Bacteria
Description: bacterial SSU rRNA
Rfam family: Bacterial small subunit ribosomal RNA
Source: RNAcentral